UACUAGAGUAGCACUCGCAUAUCAAUAAGCGGAGGAAAAGGGGGGCUAUUACCUACGCUUAGGAUGUUGAUAUGCAUGACUGAUAUAGUCUAUACACGACUCUGCGCAUAUCAAUAAGCGGAGGAAAAGAAACUAACAAGGAUUCCCCUAGUAACGGCGAGUGAAGCGGGAAGAGCUCAAAUUUGAAAUCUUAAAGGGUUUCCCUUUACGAAUUGUAGUUUAAAGAAGUGUUUUCUGUUGAGGUUUUGGUAAAAGUUCUUUGGAAUAGGACAUCAUAGAGGGUGAGAAUCCCGUAUUUGACCUUUACUUUCAACUUUGUGAUACACUUUCAAAGAGUCGGAUUGUUUGGGAAUGCAGUCCAAAAUGGGUGGUAAAUUUCAUCUAAAGCUAAAUAUUGGCGAGAGACCGAUAGCGAACAAGUACCGUGAGGGAAAGAUGAAAAGAACUUUGAAAAGAGAGUUAAACAGUACGUGAAAUUGUCAAAAGGGAAGCGUUUGACACCAGUGUUGUUUUUCUGAAAAUCAAUUAAAGAACUGUUUAUGCUAAGUUGUUUAGACUUUAUCAGCUAAUCUGCUUAGUUUUGAGCUUUUCUUUAAUGCACUUCUCAGUUAACAAGUCAACAUCAAUUUCUUUUGCUGUAAAAAGGCUUGAGGAAGGUGGCUUGAGAUUCGUCUUAAGUGUUUAUAGCCUCUUGCCUAUGCAGUCGGAGAGAUUGAGGUCUGCAGCGUAGAUCCUUCGGGGCUAAAUGCAUUUGUGCUAAGUUAUAGCAUUUUAUAGACAACUUGUUGACUAUGAUUUGUCUUGUAGCUUACUCGCUUAUGUUAUUUUACCUACGCUUAGGAUGUUGAACUCUAUCACACACAG
This 864-nucleotide ribosomal RNA is filed under the name uncultured Neocallimastigales. RNAcentral's name for it is "partial large subunit ribosomal RNA". It matches the Rfam family "Eukaryotic large subunit ribosomal RNA", at positions 1 to 621 of the family's 3401-position model. The record is from RNAcentral. Lineage: Eukaryota; Fungi; Neocallimastigomycota; Neocallimastigomycetes; Neocallimastigales.